RNAcentral lists this ribosomal RNA (470 nucleotides) under uncultured Paracoccaceae bacterium. Its description in RNAcentral is "bacterial SSU rRNA". It matches the Rfam family "Bacterial small subunit ribosomal RNA", at positions 1 to 527 of the family's 1533-position model. Lineage: Bacteria; Pseudomonadati; Pseudomonadota; Alphaproteobacteria; Rhodobacterales; Paracoccaceae. The record is from RNAcentral.
UUAGGGGUUUGAUUAUGGGCUCAGGAACGAACGCUGGGCGGCAGGCCUAACACAUGCAAAGUCGAGCGCGCCUUCGGGCGAGCGGCGGACGGGUUAGUAACGCGUGAGAACGUGCCCAGAUUACGGAAUAGCCACUGGAAACGGUGAGUAAUACCGUAUACGCCCUUCGAAAAAAGAUUUAUCGGAUUUGGAUCGGCCCGCGUUAGAUUAGGUAGUUGGUAAAGUAACGGCCUACCAAGCCUACGAUCUAUAGCUGGUUUUAGAGGAUGAUGGCAACACUGAGACUGAGACACGGCUCAGACUCCUACAGAGGCAGCGUGAGAAUCUUGGACAAUAAAGAAACCCUGAUCCAGCCAUGCCGCGUGAGGAAGAAGGCCCUAAAGUCGUAAAACUCUUUCGCCUGUGAUGAUAAUGACAGUAGCAGGUAAAGGAACCCCGGCUAACUCCGUGCCAGCAGCCGCGGUAAUACA